Molecule: microRNA precursor, 118 nt
Filed under: Schistosoma mansoni
Lineage: Eukaryota; Metazoa; Platyhelminthes; Trematoda; Strigeidida; Schistosomatidae
Description: microRNA sma-mir-8428 precursor
Source: miRBase by way of RNAcentral
UUGACAUAAUGAGGUUUGCAUAGAAAUCGAAUCCGUAUGAAUACUUGGUUCAACAAUAAUUGAUGUUUGAACAUUCAUGUCAGUAUUCGGUACACAAGCAAGUAAUGCAUUAUUUUGU